Molecule: small nuclear RNA, 142 nt
Filed under: Vigna angularis (adzuki bean)
Lineage: Eukaryota; Viridiplantae; Streptophyta; Magnoliopsida; Fabales; Fabaceae
Description: snRNA U1
Rfam family: U1 spliceosomal RNA
About the family: U1 is a small nuclear RNA (snRNA) component of the spliceosome (involved in pre-mRNA splicing). Its 5' end forms complementary base pairs with the 5' splice junction, thus defining the 5' donor site of an intron.
Source: RNAcentral
AAACUUACCUGUACAUGAUGUGUGAUCAGAAGGCACAUGGAAGGAUCUUCCAUUGCACUUUGGGAAGAUGGAACUCUAGGGUUUGUUUAAGUGACAAGGUCAACAUCAUAAUAAUAACUUAUGAUAGAGUUUGAAUCAAACA